UACGUAGGGCGCAAGCGUUGUCCGGAAUUAUUGGGCGUAAAGAGCUCGUAGGCGGUUUGUCGCGUCUGUCGUGAAAGCUUGGGGCUUAACCCCAAGUCUGCGGUGGAUACGGGCAGACUAGAGGCAGGUAGGGGAGAACGGAAUUCCCGGUGUAGCGGUGAAAUGCGCAGAUAUCGGGAGGAACACCGGUGGCGAAGGCGGUUCUCUGGGCCUGUACUGACGCUGAGGAGCGAAAGCGUGGGGAUCAAACAGG
RNAcentral lists this ribosomal RNA (253 nucleotides) under uncultured bacterium. RNAcentral's name for it is "partial 16S ribosomal RNA". It matches the Rfam family "Bacterial small subunit ribosomal RNA", at positions 524 to 776 of the family's 1533-position model. The record is from RNAcentral.